This is a small nuclear RNA of 74 nucleotides. Its record names the gene U2. It matches the Rfam family "U2 spliceosomal RNA". Rfam says of the family: U2 is a small nuclear RNA (snRNA) component of the spliceosome (involved in pre-mRNA splicing). Complementary binding between U2 snRNA (in an area lying towards the 5' end but 3' to hairpin I) and the branchpoint sequence (BPS) of the intron results the bulging out of an unpaired adenosine, on the BPS, which initiates a nucleophilic attack at the intronic 5' splice site, thus starting the first of two transesterification reactions that mediate splicing. The record is from Ensembl.
ACUGCCUUUUGGCCUUUUGGCUAAGAUCAAGUGUAGUAUCUGUUCUUAUCAAAAAAAAAAAAAAAAAAAAAAAA